RNAcentral lists this ribosomal RNA (425 nucleotides) under uncultured bacterium. RNAcentral's name for it is "partial 16S ribosomal RNA". It matches the Rfam family "Bacterial small subunit ribosomal RNA", at positions 359 to 776 of the family's 1533-position model. The record is from RNAcentral.
GAAUAUUGGACAAUGGGCGAAAGCCUGAUCCAGCCAUGCCGCGGGUGUGAAGAAGGUCUUCGGAUUGUACAGCACUCUAAGUCGGGAGGAAGGGCAGUAAGCGAAUACCUUGCUGUUUUGACGAUACCGCCAGAAUAAGCACCGGCUAACUCUGUGCCAGCAGCCGCGUUAAUACAGUGGGUUCAAGCGUUAAUCGGAAUUACUGGGCGUAAAGCGCGCGUAGGUGGUUCGUUAAGUUGGGUGUGAAAUCCCCGGGCUCAACCUGGGAACUGCAUCCAAAACUGGCGAGCUAGAGUAGGGCAGAGGGUGGUGGAAUUUCCUGUGUAGCGGUGAAAUGCGUAGAUAUAGGAAGGAACACCAGUGGCGAAGGCGACCACCUGGGCUCAUACUGACACUGAGGUGCGAAAGCGUGGGGAGCAAACAGG